UGAGAGUAAAUGGUCUUUUUCACUGUUAA
This 29-nucleotide non-coding RNA is filed under the name Mus musculus (house mouse). The record is from RNAcentral. Lineage: Eukaryota; Metazoa; Chordata; Mammalia; Rodentia; Muridae.